This 378-nucleotide ribosomal RNA is filed under the name Mytilus trossulus (common blue mussel). Its description in RNAcentral is "partial 16S ribosomal RNA". It matches the Rfam family "Bacterial large subunit ribosomal RNA", at positions 1916 to 2541 of the family's 2925-position model. Lineage: Eukaryota; Metazoa; Mollusca; Bivalvia; Mytilida; Mytilidae. The record is from RNAcentral.
GUUUGUUGUAAAUGGCGGCGUUAACGUGAGCGUCCUAAGGUAGCGCGAUAAUUUGCUUUUUAAUUAAAGGAUGGUAUGAAAGGGUUAACGAAGAAGAUGCUGUGUCUAAGAAUUUAAUUUAAACUAACUUUAAGGUGAAGAGGCCUUUAUGAAAAAGAAGGACGACAAGACCCUAUGAAGCUUUACCUUAAUUGAAGCUUUCAAGCUUUUAUACGGUUUUGAUGGGAGAUCAGUAAAAAUAAAUCCUUUGCUAUAGAGUUUAUCCUACCAGAAUUUCCUAAUUUUAUAUGUGUGAUUAGCUACUCUAGGGAUAACAGCGCAAUUUCUCCCGAAAGAUGGUAUUGGAGGGGAAGAUUGUGACCUCGAUGUUGGCUUUAG